UACGAAGGGGGCGAGCGUUAUUCGGAAUCACUGGGCGUAAAGCGUGCGUAGGCGGCUCUGAAAGUUAGGAGUGAAAGCCCCAGGCUCAACUUGGGAAUUGCUCUUAAUACUCCAGGGCUCGAAUUCGGGAGAGGAUAGCGGAAUUGUCAGUGUAGCAGUGAAAUGCGUAGAUAUUGACAGGAACACCAGUGGCGUAAGCGGCUAUCUGGACCGACAUUGACGCUGAGGCACGAAAGCGUGGGGAUCAAACAGG
RNAcentral lists this ribosomal RNA (253 nucleotides) under uncultured bacterium. RNAcentral describes it as "partial 16S ribosomal RNA". It matches the Rfam family "Bacterial small subunit ribosomal RNA", at positions 524 to 776 of the family's 1533-position model. The record is from RNAcentral.